UUGUUUCUAUUUCAUCAAGCUAUUGAAAGAAUUUUUCAAAAAGAAAAAGGCACAUCAGCCGAAUGUUUUCAUGUAUUAUAGUGUGACCUAAAUGAUGCCAUUGAAGCGGAGAGUCUGUUGCUGAAAUGUUUCUUCUUCUUGUACUUAUGACAUUAUAGUUGUAUAUAAAGAAUAAUGAAAUGGUCUAAAUAGAAAUAUAUUCUGUACAAGUUGUAUUCAAAAAUUAAAACAUAGUUUCUUUAUAAGGAUUUAUGAUCUGAUCUCCUCCUUCCCCCCUCCCCACCAUCCUGUCAUAUUAAAUAUAUUCAUGUUUACCGAAUUUAACUGUGUAAUUUAUGUCUACAUAACGAG
Non-coding RNA from Biomphalaria pfeifferi, 351 nucleotides. NCBI's taxonomy places the organism in Eukaryota, Metazoa, Mollusca, Gastropoda, Planorbidae. The record is from the annotation of a GenBank genome assembly.